CCAGUCUCCCUUUGCCACUGACUGAAGGAGCAUCUGUUAAAGACCUGAAUCUCCUGUGUCACACACAUACAGUUAGCUCAUGGAAAAGAAUCCAGUUCCUCCUCCUUACCCGGGAUUACCCACAGAUCCUGGCUAUGGUGCCGCUUAUCCGCCGUUACCUGCACACCAGCAAGGUCCAGGCCAAUUUCCCCCAACUCAAUAUGGAAUGAACCAGCCAGCCGCACCACACGUGGUGACGGUGUUGUUACAGCCAAAUUUGUCUGAUGUCCCUGGUCAGACACAGUGUCCUCACUGUCAGCAACAUGUUACGACUGCAACCAGACACACAAACGGCCUUCUGACCUGGCUCCUCUGUGGCGGCCUCUUCCUGUUCCUGUAAGUGGCCCAUUUGGGCUUGUGAAAAUCUGUUUGAAAAAUGAAAUUGCUUUUUGAC
Long non-coding RNA from Clupea harengus (Atlantic herring), 433 nucleotides. Lineage: Eukaryota; Metazoa; Chordata; Actinopteri; Clupeiformes; Clupeidae. The record is from Ensembl.